RNAcentral lists this ribosomal RNA (254 nucleotides) under uncultured bacterium. RNAcentral's name for it is "partial 16S ribosomal RNA". It matches the Rfam family "Bacterial small subunit ribosomal RNA", at positions 524 to 776 of the family's 1533-position model. The record is from RNAcentral.
UACGAAGGGGGCUAGCGUUAAUCGGAAUUACUGGGCGUAAAGGGUGCGCAGGCGGUUAUAUAAGACAGAUGUGAAAUCCCCGGGCUCAACCUGGGAACUGCGUUUGUGACUGUAUGACUAGAGUACGGUAGAGAGGGGUGGAAUUCCUGGUGUAGCAGUGAAAUGCGCAGAUAUCAGGAGGAACACCGGUGGCGAAGGCGGCUCACUGGUCCGGUACUGACGCUGGAGGUGCGAAAGCGUGGGGAGCAAACAGG